GAAGCCAACCUCAAGAUAAGAUUUCCCACUUCAUAGAAGGUAAGAUCCCAGAAAGACUAUCUGGUUGAUAGGCCCAGGGUGUAAGUGCAGCAAUGCAUUCAGCUGAUGGGUACUAAUAGAUCGAGGACUUGACCA
This 135-nucleotide ribosomal RNA is filed under the name Peptoclostridium litorale DSM 5388. RNAcentral describes it as "23S rRNA. Bacterial LSU". It matches the Rfam family "Bacterial large subunit ribosomal RNA", at positions 2789 to 2925 of the family's 2925-position model. The record is from RNAcentral. Lineage: Bacteria; Bacillati; Bacillota; Clostridia; Peptostreptococcales; Peptoclostridiaceae.